UACGAAGGGUGCAAGCGUUACUCGGAAUUACUGGGCGUAAAGCGUGCGUAGGUGGUUUGUUAAGUCUGAUGUGAAAGCCCUGGGCUCAACCUGGGAAUUGCAUUGGAUACUGGCAGGCUAGAGUGCGGUAGAGGAUGGCGGAAUUCCCGGUGUAGCAGUGAAAUGCGUAGAGAUCGGGAGGAACAUCUGUGGCGAAGGCGGCCAUCUGGACCAGCACUGACACUGAGACACGAAGGCCAGGGGAGCAAACGGG
This 253-nucleotide ribosomal RNA is filed under the name uncultured bacterium. RNAcentral's name for it is "partial 16S ribosomal RNA". It matches the Rfam family "Bacterial small subunit ribosomal RNA", at positions 524 to 776 of the family's 1533-position model. The record is from RNAcentral.